GCUUCCAGGGCCAGUCCUGCCUGCCCCGGAGGUCCCCCUGGGCCUGCGCACCUUCCUUGACUGUGGAGUCCAUGGGGCACCUCCCUUAUAUGGUCAGAUAUUUAUGUCUCCCCACUUCUGAAGGGAGCCUUCCCAGCAUGCCUAGUUCAGCAUCCAGUCCUCACGGCCAGCCUCUGAGUCCAAAUUUCUCACCGUGUAUCUCAAGGCAUCGGAAUCACAUGGAACAGGGAGGUGCCGGCGGCUGUCUCACAUGCCGAAGUUCAGGGCUGCCUCUCCAGUAGUGAUGUGGAGAAGCUCAGUCCCUGGGGAAUCUGUGCAGCAGGUCUGUGCCGUCUGCAUCCAGACGUUUAGAUGGAAGAAAACAAGCUUCUAGCUUAUUUAAGCCAUUAAAAACAAAACAAAACUCCAGGUCCAGGCUGCAUCCCAAAUCAAUGAAAUCAGAAUUUCGGGGGGGUUAGACCCUAGGAUCAGUAUAUUGAUACCCUGGGAUCAGUAUUUUGAAAAUCCCCUGGUGA
Molecule: long non-coding RNA, 515 nt
Filed under: Homo sapiens (human)
Lineage: Eukaryota; Metazoa; Chordata; Mammalia; Primates; Hominidae
Description: HSALNT0290811
Source: RNAcentral